GCAAGAUUUGGAUAGAUUGGAGAGUUGUGCAAGGAGGAACCUCAUAGGGUUUAACAAGAAUGAGUGUAGAGUCUUUUAUCUAUGGAGGAAUAACCACAUGCAUCAGAACAGGUUAGGGGAAGACCUGCUGAAGAGGAGUUCUGCAUAGAAGGACCUGGGUAUUCUGGUGGAAAGCAGGUUGGCCUUGGGCCAGAAGUGUGCCCUUGUGGCCAAGAAAGUCAACGAUAUCCUGGCUUCUGUUAGAAAGAGUGUGGUCUGCAGGUCGAGGGAGGUGGAUCUCCCCCUCUACUCUGCCCAGAACUUCGUAAAGAGACACUGGAACUUGGGAAGGAAAAUACAGCAGAGAUGGUGGUACCAGGAACUUGGCUAAGAAGACAGAAGCAACUUCUUGUAUUUAUGUACAGUGGUCUUUCCAACUGAUAGUUACAAAGGGAG
This 435-nucleotide long non-coding RNA is filed under the name Gallus gallus (chicken). Lineage: Eukaryota; Metazoa; Chordata; Aves; Galliformes; Phasianidae. The record is from RNAcentral.